Molecule: ribosomal RNA, 253 nt
Filed under: uncultured bacterium
Lineage: Bacteria
Description: partial 16S ribosomal RNA
Rfam family: Bacterial small subunit ribosomal RNA
Source: RNAcentral
UACGUAGGGGGCAAGCGUUGUCCGGAUUUAUUGGGCGUAAAGAGCGUGUAGGCGGCCAAGCAGGUCCGCUGUGAAAACUCGAGGCUCAACCUCGAGACGUCGGUGGAAACCGUUUGGCUAGAGUCCGGAAGAGGAGAGUGGAAUUCCCGAUGUAGCGGUGAAAUGCGCAGAUAUCGGGAAGAACACCCGUGGCGAAGGCGGCUCUCUGGGACGGUACUGACGCUGAGACGCGAAAGCGUGGGGAGCGAACAGG